GGAACACAAACGAAGAAUGACUUGGCAAAAAGUGUCUGCAAUCAUUUUGCUUCAUGCUUCACAAUCCACUCGGAGCAGAUUAUUGUAACAACUGGCUCCACUGGGUACGACCAUGAAGGAAAUCCUCCGCCUUCUCCACCGCCUCGACACCACCAGCGAGGUUCUCAAUACUAGAGGUCGUCACAGUGAGCCAGUCCCCCAACCUACCCAGCCGUCCACCCAGGUCAGCGAUGCCCGACUGUCCCUUCCGGAGAAGUAUUAACGGCACUCCAUUGAAAUGCCGUUGCUUCCUACUCCAGCGCUCCCUCUAUUUCGCCUAUCAGAUGGGAGCCCCCACCACCGAGAGGUCCAAGGUUACCACGGUCAUUUCUCUGCUGACCAGACUAGUGUUGGAGUGGGCUACGGCAUCUGGGAGAGAGGAGAGGAGGAGCUGGGUUCCCAUGAGAGGUUCAUGGCUCCGUUCAGGUGGUCUUCAACCAUCCUCCAGAGGGCAGAAGGAGGUGAGUGACUUUCACAACUCCAGCAGGAUGCCCAGAGUACCGCCUCACCUUUUGGACUGUGGCGGCCUCCAGCUGGUAGAAGGAGCUGGCGCUCUGUACUCUAUUCUGUGGUGGACUGCGCAAAGAGGUCCAGAUGGAGUUGGCAUGUCAGACAAAGGACAAAAUAUCCUUGGACGCUCUCAUCGUGAUGGCCAUCCGUCUGGAAAACCUUCUUCGGGAGCUCCGGUGUCCACCUCGUCACUCACCUCCCUCCUUUGGCUGUCCUGAGGCAGAGCCUGAAAUCAUGGAGGUUGGGGCCACACACUUCUUCACGUCAAAGCGGGGUCGCCUUAGACAGCUGAGACUCUGUCCCUAUUGCGGCCAGGAGGUGUCCGGUGCAUUCCAACCUGGGGUCCACGCCUACCCCGUGACCUUCCGUCUCCCUUGGCUCCAACUUAAUAACCGCAAAGGUCAAAGGUGACAAUCACUGCC
Oncorhynchus tshawytscha (Chinook salmon) is the source of this 971-nucleotide long non-coding RNA. Lineage: Eukaryota; Metazoa; Chordata; Actinopteri; Salmoniformes; Salmonidae. The record is from Ensembl.